RNAcentral lists this ribosomal RNA (54 nucleotides) under Russula sororia. RNAcentral's name for it is "partial 28S ribosomal RNA". Lineage: Eukaryota; Fungi; Basidiomycota; Agaricomycetes; Russulales; Russulaceae. The record is from RNAcentral.
UUGACCUCAAAUCGGGUGAGACUACCCGCUGAACUUAAGCAUAUCAAUAAGCGA